GUUCUUAUAGUUUAAUUAAAAUAUAAUACUGAAAAUAUUAAGAUAUUUAUUUAAGAUC
RNAcentral lists this transfer RNA (58 nucleotides) under Ornithodoros kalahariensis. RNAcentral describes it as "Ornithodoros sp. 1 BJM-2014 tRNA-Phe". Lineage: Eukaryota; Metazoa; Arthropoda; Arachnida; Ixodida; Argasidae. The record is from RNAcentral.